UUUCACAGGAUGAAUAGUUUUUUUAUUAAGUAUGUUUUUCUGGCAUCUCUAAUGUUAGGGCUUUUCAGCUCGAUGAGUACAUCAAUUGACUAAAUUAUCUGAUA
Molecule: non-coding RNA, 104 nt
Organism: Candida albicans SC5314
Lineage: Eukaryota; Fungi; Ascomycota; Pichiomycetes; Serinales; Debaryomycetaceae
Source: Rfam